RNAcentral lists this long non-coding RNA (286 nucleotides) under Dromaius novaehollandiae (emu). Its description in RNAcentral is "lncRNA (ENSDNVG00000018315.1)". Lineage: Eukaryota; Metazoa; Chordata; Aves; Casuariiformes; Dromaiidae. The record is from RNAcentral.
UCAGCCCCCGAGGUUGCGGUGGGGGAGGCGGGGGGCGGCGCCCGCCCCUCGCAGCGCUGAGAGGUGAAUUCUAGUGAAUUUUUCUCUCUACAUGAGAGGAGAAAGUGAGAUGAGAAGAGAGCCUAUGGAUCAGCAAGAGAAAAGGAGAAGGGGGAAAAAAGCAUCAUACAAACUGUAUGCAUAACCAGCCAGAUUUAUUGCUCAGAGAGACAGUACCUUUUGCUGAGUCCAGCAUAUGGCCAACAGGAGCUAUGUCAGGUAAGGAAUACAACCUUUAAUUUUUUAC